Molecule: unclassified non-coding RNA, 189 nt
Filed under: uncultured fungus
Lineage: Eukaryota; Fungi
Description: partial contains 18S rRNA, ITS1, 5.8S rRNA, ITS2 and 28S rRNA
Source: RNAcentral
AGGGAUCAUUAAAGAGUUGCAAAACUCCCUUUACACCAUCGCGAACGUUACCUGUAAUCGUUGCCUCGGCGGCGCGGCCCCUUCUGGGGCUGGCCCGCCGGCGGUACCCUAAAACUCUGUUUUUUAUAGGCCUCUCUGAGUAACUUAUCAAAUAAGUCAAAACUUUCAACAACGGAUCUCUUGGUUCUG